AGAACGAACGCUGGCGGCAUGCCUAAUACAUGCAAGUCGAACGAACACUUCGGUGUUAGUGGCGCACGGGUGCGUAACGCGUGGGAAUCUGCCCUUGGGUUCGGAAUAACAGUUGGAAACGACUGCUAAUACCGGAUGAUAUCGAAAGAUCAAAGAUUUAUCGCCCAGGGAUGAGCCCGCGUAGGAUUAGCUAGUUGGUGAGGUAAAGGCUCACCAAGGCGACGAUCCUUAGCUGGUCUGAGAGGAUGAUCAGCCACACUGGGACUGAGACACGGCCCAGACUCCUACGGGAGGCAGCAGUAGGGAAUAUUGGACAAUGGGCGCAAGCCUGAUCCAGCAAUGCCGCGUGAGUGAUGAAGGCCUUAGGGUUGUAAAGCUACUUUUACCCGAGAUGAUAAUGACAGUAUCGGAGAAUAAGCCCCGGACUAACUUCGUGCCAGCAGCCGAC
RNAcentral lists this ribosomal RNA (448 nucleotides) under uncultured soil bacterium. RNAcentral describes it as "bacterial SSU rRNA". It matches the Rfam family "Bacterial small subunit ribosomal RNA", at positions 26 to 518 of the family's 1533-position model. The record is from RNAcentral.